AACUUCUUAAAUGCUGCUUCUUAAUUUCGAUAUAUAAUGUGUACCACUUGUCUCUUGCCUGUUUGUAUCUCAUCGUCCCAGAUUCAUCACCACAUAAUGUGGCCCCUGUGGAAGCUUAGGGAGACACUGUCCUCGAUGAAGCUCUGACUUGCCCGGGGAAGUAUAUCCACUGCCCCUCCAGAGUCUUCUCCUGAUGUAAUGCACAGGGCAUGGAGAAGGAGAUGACGUGGCCGGAGUUCCAGCAGUCGGACUUCUAUGAUGCUGAAAGGGACAGAUGGAUUGCAGACAAAAGGAAGCCCUAACCUACCCUCACAUACACACAUGCACGCGCCACUUCCUGGGUCUACUAAGUUUCAUACUAAUAACAUAUAAACUAAGACGUUUUGCCUGCAACAAAAAUGAGACCCCUAAACUAUCAGCCUUUUCACCGUCCUGACAUUCCUGCCAAGAACAAAACAGUUUUGGUUAAUGCCCUCAAAAAACUCAAUUCAUAAUAAAGAAUAAUAAUCAUUUCAGGGAUUUCUAUAGGUCCUCCACUCCAACCUUGUCGGUGCUGGGGCCUUAAACAUGUGAUUUAUUUAAA
Notothenia coriiceps (black rockcod) is the source of this 583-nucleotide long non-coding RNA. RefSeq lists it as uncharacterized. The transcript is spliced from 5 exons. The record is from RefSeq and is a predicted model, not a curated record. Lineage: Eukaryota; Metazoa; Chordata; Actinopteri; Perciformes; Nototheniidae.